GUGGAGCAGCAGAUGAUUUCGCGGACGCUUCAGGAGCAGAGCCUCCUGCUGGAUGCGGCCCACGGCACCAGGAGAGCUGCAGGCUGUUCAGGAAGAGAAAACCCAGCUCCAGGCGCAUCUGUAAGUGCAGCACGGUGGCUAUGCGUGCGUUUGUGUUUCUCUCCUUUGAUGAAAACGUUUAUCCCCCAUCAGCUGGGCCAGCACAGAGAUAAAGAUUCUGCCUUCGAGGAGCUGGCUUGAUAGAACAUUCAUACCUGUUCUCAGUAGGAGUUGGUCAUGCAUUCUAAAACAACACUGAAUCACUCCUCCUGCUAAAUCAGAGCUCUCAUCUGACUUUCAUGUUGUCUGACUUUUCUCCUGAAGGAACCAUUUAGCCCUUGAGCAUAACCAGUGUGUGCAGAGAGCCAGGAUGCCGAGCAGAGGACGGCUGUGCAGAAGGAGCUUCUGGAGUCAACCAUCGCGAGACUGCGAGGCGAAGUGGACGCAUCGGUGCAAGAGAAGUCCCUGCUGGAGGAGAACGAAAGGUUUCGGAGACGGGUGGGUAGAAGCAGAUUCCCACUGCCGCCUCCUCACGGAGCGAUGGUGAUGUUGCAAAAUUGUACUCUAAGUGCAGUUUCAAGACCAGAAAUUGAACCAGAUGCAGUUUGUCCGAGUUUCCCCUUAAAGAAAUCCUAGUGGCUAACGUGUCCCCUGGAGCCUGGGAAGCAGUCUGUGACGAAUAGAACAAUGCACACAGCACCGGUGAGUGUCAGCAGAUAAUUCACACAUCCUCCUGUUAGGUAAGGGUCGCGUUUGGAAAGUUGACAUCCUCUGGAGGGGGAAUGGUGGAGAUUAGGGGCGCAGCCAGGUCUUCCUAGCUAUGCGGGAGUCGACAUCCUCUGGAGGGGGAAUGGUGGAGAUUAGGGGCGCAGCCAGGUCUUCCUAGCUAUGCGGGAGUCUGCCACGCAGAGAUGGCUUUCUGGUUUCUGUUCGUGCUUCCUGUUCACCUCAGAUGCCUACCUGGCCCCUCUUCCGGGCGGAGUGCAAGGGGGUGCCGUGUAGGUACAAAAGCCACACAGGCUGUGUGUGCUCCAGGAGAGCCUGUCAGCCGCUGUGAACCUGACCUAUUGCUUUCUCUCUCUCUCCGGCAGGCUAACAAGACAGAAAAAGAAAUAACACAAGAAAAAUGCGCUUUGGAAAAGGAGUUAGCUAAAAAUAAGGUGAAAUCCAUCCUUGAGAAGAACGAGGAGGAGCUGUCCCAAGCAGUGAAGGGCCGGGACGCUGCCCUGCAGGAGAGUCAGAGGUUGAAAGGGGACCUGGAGGCCUUGGAGAACAAGGAAAGCAAGAAGGUGGGAAACUUUCAGAGACAGUUGGCAGAGGGGAAAGAAGACAACUGCAAAGUUACAAUCAUGUUGGAAAAUGUGCUGGCUUCUCACAGUAAGAUGCAAGGAGCUCUGGAGAAAGCGCAGAUAGAGCUGGGGCGAAAGGAUUCCGAGAUCGCAGGCCUCAAGAAAGAAAGGGCCCUCAACCUGCAGCGGGUGCAGAAGCUGGAAGCCGAGGUGGACCAGUGGCAGGCCAGGAUGCUUGAUGUGGACGCCCAGCACAGCAGCGAGGUGGAGCCUCUACAGAAAUCUCUCAAUGCAGCUAGAGAAGACAACAGGAAGUUGGCCAUGAGCCUGGGGCAAGCUCUCCAGACAAAUAAUCAUCUGCAGACCAAGCUGGAUCGUGUUCAAGAAAAAUUGGAGAAGAAAGAACUUGAGUGGCAGAAUUUGGAAACCCUGAGAGAGAGGAUGACGGAGGAGUGCAGAGCGGAAGCGGAAAUGCAUGCUGAGCUCAUCGAAGCGCUAAGGAAGCAGUUCCAGACUGAGAGAGAUACUGCGAGGAAAGCGGCACAGCAGGAGCUUGCUGAGCUGAAGAAAGCCCUCCACGAAGCCAACUUCCGGUCAGUGGAAGUGUCCCGGAGCAAUCGAGAGCUGCGGCAGAAAAUCGCCGAGCUGGAGAAGACGCUGAGCAGUAGCCAGGAGAAGCUAAAGAGUCAGAAGGCCCAGAUAAAGCUUCACCUGUCAGCCAAGACAAGCAACGCUCAGAACGUGGAGAGGAUGAAGGUUGUGCGAGCGCCAGCGUGGGGCGGGUGGGCUUCUGGGAAGCAGGGUGUCCUCCCUGGCCGCGGGGCAGUGGCUGCCGGGUAA
Long non-coding RNA from Fukomys damarensis (Damara mole-rat), 2168 nucleotides. The record is from Ensembl. NCBI's taxonomy places the organism in Eukaryota, Metazoa, Chordata, Mammalia, Rodentia, Bathyergidae.